UACAGAGGUCUCAAGCGUUGUUCGGAUUCAUUGGGCGUAAAGGGUGCGUAGGCGGCGCGGUAAGUCGGGUGUGAAAUCUCGGGGCUUAACUCCGAAACUGCAUUCGAUACUACCGUGCUUGAGGACUGGAGAGGAGACUGGAAUUUACGGUGUAGCGGUGAAAUGCGCAGAUAUCAGGAGGAACACCAGUGGCGAAGGCGGUGCUCUGGGCCGGAACUGACGCUGAUGAGCGAAAGCGUGGGGAGCAAACAGG
RNAcentral lists this ribosomal RNA (253 nucleotides) under uncultured bacterium. RNAcentral describes it as "partial 16S ribosomal RNA". It matches the Rfam family "Bacterial small subunit ribosomal RNA", at positions 524 to 776 of the family's 1533-position model. The record is from RNAcentral.